This 460-nucleotide ribosomal RNA is filed under the name uncultured bacterium. RNAcentral describes it as "partial 16S ribosomal RNA". It matches the Rfam family "Bacterial small subunit ribosomal RNA", at positions 338 to 795 of the family's 1533-position model. The record is from RNAcentral.
CCUACGGGGUGCAGCAGUGAGGAAUAUUGGUCAAUGGGCGCGAGCCUGAACCAGCCAAGUAGCGUGAAGGAUGACUGCCCUACGGGUUGUAAACUUCUUUUAUAAAGGAAUAAAGUGAGGCACGUGUGCCUUUUUGUAUGUACUUUAUGAAUAAGGAUCGGCUAACUCCGUGCCAGCAGCCGCGGUAAUACGGAGGAACCGAGCGUUAUCCGGAUUUAUUGGGGUUAAAGGGAGCGUAGAUGGGUUGUUAAGUCAGAUGUGAAAGUUUGCGGCUCAACCGUAAAAUUGCAAUUGAUACUGGCAGGCUUGAGUACAGUUGAGGUAGGCGGAAUUCGUGGUGGAGCGGUGAAAUGCUUAGAUAUCACGAAGAACACCGAUUGCGAAGGCAGCUUACUAAACUGCCACUGACGUUGAUGCUCGAAAGUGUGGGUAUCAAACAGGAUUAGAUACCCGGGUAGUC